RNAcentral lists this ribosomal RNA (473 nucleotides) under uncultured bacterium. RNAcentral describes it as "bacterial SSU rRNA". It matches the Rfam family "Bacterial small subunit ribosomal RNA", at positions 329 to 794 of the family's 1533-position model. The record is from RNAcentral.
CUCCAGACUCCUACGGGAGGCAGCAGUGGGGAAUAUUGCGCAAUGGGCGAAAGCCUGACGCAGCGACGCCGCGUGAGGGAUGAAGGUCUUCGGAUCGUAAACCUCUGUCAGCAGGGAAGAACGGUCACUGUGCUAAUCAGCAGUGAAUUGACGGUACCUGCAAAGGAAGCACCGGCUAAAUACGUGCCAGCAGCCGCGGUAAUACGUAUGGUGCAAGCGUUAUCCGGAAUGACUGGGCGUAAAGGGAGCGUAGACGGUUGUACAAGUCUGAUGUGAAAGCCCACGGCUCAACUGUGGGAGUGCAUUGGAAACUGUAGAACUAGAGUAUCGGAGAGGCAAGUGGAAUUCCUAGUGUAGCGGUGAAAUGCGUAGAUAUCAGGAGGAACACCGGUGGCGAAGGCGGCCUGCUGGACUGCAACUGACGUUGAGGCCCGAAAGCGUGGGGAGCAAACAGGAUUAGAUACCCCGGUAAC